RNAcentral lists this ribosomal RNA (1280 nucleotides) under Arthrobacter sp. RNAcentral's name for it is "bacterial SSU rRNA". It matches the Rfam family "Bacterial small subunit ribosomal RNA", at positions 113 to 1405 of the family's 1533-position model. The record is from RNAcentral. Lineage: Bacteria; Bacillati; Actinomycetota; Actinomycetes; Micrococcales; Micrococcaceae.
ACACGUGAGUAACCUGCCCCCGACUCUGGGAUAAGCCCGGGAAACUGGGUCUAAUACCGGAUAUGACCUCGCACCGCAUGGUGCGGGGUGGAAAGAUUUAUCGGUGGGGGAUGGACUCGCGGCCUAUCAGCUUGUUGGUGAGGUAAUGGCUCACCAAGGCGACGACGGGUAGCCGGCCUGAGAGGGUGACCGGCCACACUGGGACUGAGACACGGCCCAGACUCCUACGGGAGGCAGCAGUGGGGAAUAUUGCACAAUGGGCGCAAGCCUGAUGCAGCGACGCCGCGUGAGGGAUGACGGCCUUCGGGUUGUAAACCUCUUUCAGUAGGGAAGAAGCGAAAGUGACGGUACCUGCAGAAGAAGCGCCGGCUAACUACGUGCCAGCAGCCGCGGUAAUACGUAGGGCGCAAGCGUUAUCCGGAUUUAUUGGGCGUAAAGAGCUCGUAGGCGGUUUGUCGCGUCUGCCGUGAAAGUCCGAGGCUCAACCUCGGAUCUGCGGUGGGUACGGGCAGACUAGAGUGAUGUAGGGGAGACUGGAAUUCCUGGUGUAGCGGUGAAAUGCGCAGAUAUCAGGAGGAACACCGAUGGCGAAGGCAGGUCUCUGGGCAUUUACUGACGCUGAGGAGCGAAAGCAUGGGGAGCGAACAGGAUUAGAUACCCUGGUAGUCCAUGCCGUAAACGUUGGGCACUAGGUGUGGGGGACAUUCCACGUUUUCCGCGCCGUAGCUAACGCAUUAAGUGCCCCGCCUGGGGAGUACGGCCGCAAGGCUAAAACUCAAAGGAAUUGACGGGGGCCCGCACAAGCGGCGGAGCAUGCGGAUUAAUUCGAUGCAACGCGAAGAACCUUACCAAGGCUUGACAUGUGCCAGACCGCCUCAGAGAUGGGGUUUCCCUUCGGGGCUGGUUCACAGGUGGUGCAUGGUUGUCGUCAGCUCGUGUCGUGAGAUGUUGGGUUAAGUCCCGCAACGAGCGCAACCCUCGUUCCAUGUUGCCAGCACGUAGUGGUGGGGACUCAUGGGAGACUGCCGGGGUCAACUCGGAGGAAGGUGGGGAUGACGUCAAAUCAUCAUGCCCCUUAUGUCUUGGGCUUCACGCAUGCUACAAUGGCCGGUACAAUGGGUUGCGAUACUGUGAGGUGGAGCUAAUCCCUAAAAGCCGGUCUCAGUUCGGAUUGGGGUCUGCAACUCGACCCCAUGAAGUCGGAGUCGCUAGUAAUCGCAGAUCAGCAACGCUGCGGUGAAUACGUUCCCGGGCCUUGUACACACCGCCCGUCAAGUCAU